AUCAACAGGUGGGCGCACAUGGAGGAGUUGGUGGGAGUGUCAGACGCGUGGGGCGUGGUGGCCAAGGCUGAGGGGCAUGGUGGCCGACAUGGUGGCAUGGAGAGCUGGGGUUUGCUGCUGAAAUUUUGCUGAAAAAUGUUUUAGAUUUUGGGCCUUUUGGGCUUUAGGGUUUUGAUUUGUUUGGGUUUAAAUUUUGGGUCAGAUUUUGGGUUUGUAAAUGGACUGUUACUUUUGGGUUUAUUAUUUGAGUUAUUUUGUUGGUAUGGGCCCGGGCAAAAUGGGCUCGUACAGCUGCCCCUCUUUGCUCGUUGUCGUGUAACGAGAACAGAGCAAAGACUAAGAAGGCCAAUUUUACCCGGUCUCACCGAGUCUUGACUUUAUGGUGUUUAUCUUCUUCAAG
This 400-nucleotide long non-coding RNA is filed under the name Gossypium barbadense (sea-island cotton). RNAcentral describes it as "long non-coding RNA (GBAR_LNC016860)". The record is from RNAcentral. Lineage: Eukaryota; Viridiplantae; Streptophyta; Magnoliopsida; Malvales; Malvaceae.